AAAAGUUUAAUCACAUACAACUUCAGCCUACACAAAAACUCUAAACUAUAAAACACUACUCCCCCUGGCUCUGAUACCAGUAUAAAACCCGAACAUGCGGGAAUCCAUUAUGAUACCAGUAUUGGCUCUGAUACCAGUAUUGGUAUGUGGUGUUGUUUUACUAGAUCAAUGCAAAACUUAAUCUGCCUUAGGGACCAGAUCUAACUUAGAACAGAUCAAUAUCUCGCAUGUUCGGGUUUCCAGCCGAUAUACCAAAAGGCUCAGCGAUAGUACUAGAUCUGGAUCCCAAAAAUAGUAUUCUGAUUGAAUGGAGGGAGAAAAGAAAUACAACUAAGGUCAGGGAUCUUGUCUCUAUGCCUUAGAGGAUACGUAACAGUUUAUAAAAAAAUUUAAACAUGCUUUAAAUAAAUUACAAGAAUUUAAAACAUACAAGCUUUAAAAUAUUAAACAUAUUAAACUUAAAUAUAUAUUUUUGCUUGAAUCCAAGAAACUUCUACAAUAUAGUUUUAUAGAAUAGAGAAGAUGAGAAAGUUCUGAGACAGGAAAAUUUCCUCUAAGUCUCUGAUUUUUCUCAAGAGGAGAAUACAAGAAGAAGUAGAAGAAGAGAAGUGCCCUCCCUUCUGCUCCAGCCCUCGAUUUAUAGAUUCAGAAGUGCUUUUUCUGGUGGGUGCAUGAGACAACUACUUCGAGAAACGUGCUUGUGGAGACAGCAUCUUCUGCUUUAUCACGUGGAGACAAAACUGGUGCUUUAAUCAGGACAGGAGGUGAUAUGUAUAUAUAAAGCUAGGACUAUAAGAGGUGAUGUGCCAUCAUCAUUUCUCAUCUUUUUAUAUUCUCUAUUAUCUAAUAAAUUGGUUGAGAUUAAAAAAAUAAUUACAUU
This 880-nucleotide long non-coding RNA is filed under the name Citrus sinensis (sweet orange). RNAcentral's name for it is "long non-coding RNA (CSIN_LNC005328)". Lineage: Eukaryota; Viridiplantae; Streptophyta; Magnoliopsida; Sapindales; Rutaceae. The record is from RNAcentral.